RNAcentral lists this transfer RNA (73 nucleotides) under Stegodyphus mimosarum. It matches the Rfam family "tRNA". Rfam says of the family: Transfer RNA (tRNA) molecules are approximately 80 nucleotides in length. Their secondary structure includes four short double-helical elements and three loops (D, anti-codon, and T loops). Lineage: Eukaryota; Metazoa; Arthropoda; Arachnida; Araneae; Eresidae. The record is from Rfam by way of RNAcentral.
GCCUUCGUGGUGUAGUGGUCAGCACGCUCGACGCGUAACUGAGAGGUCCGUGGUUCGAUUCCCUCCGAAGGCG